GGCGAACGCUGGCGGCGUGCUUAACACAUGCAAGUCGAACGGAAAGGCCCUGCUUUUGUGGGGUGCUCGAGUGGCGAACGGGUGAGUAACACGUGAGUAACCUGCCCUUGACUUUGGGAUAACUUCAGGAAACUGGGGCUGAUACCGGAUAGGAGCUCCUGCUGCAUGGUGGGGGUUGGAAAGUUUCGGCGGUUGGGGAUGGACUCGCGGCUUAUCAGCUUGUUGGUGGGGUAGUGGCUUACCAAGGCUUUGACGGGUAGCCGGCCUGAGAGGGUGACCGGCCACAUUGGGACUGAGAUACGGCCCAGACUCCUACGGGAGGCAGCAGUGGGGAAUAUUGCACAAUGGGCGGAAGCCUGAUGCAGCAACGCCGCGUGCGGGAUGACGGCCUUCGGGUUGUAAACCGCUUUCGCCUGUGACGAAGCGUGAGUGACGGUAAUGGGUAAAGAAGCACCGGCUAACUACGUG
RNAcentral lists this ribosomal RNA (468 nucleotides) under uncultured bacterium. RNAcentral describes it as "partial 16S ribosomal RNA". It matches the Rfam family "Bacterial small subunit ribosomal RNA", at positions 28 to 507 of the family's 1533-position model. The record is from RNAcentral.